RNAcentral lists this ribosomal RNA (492 nucleotides) under uncultured bacterium. Its description in RNAcentral is "partial 16S ribosomal RNA". It matches the Rfam family "Bacterial small subunit ribosomal RNA", at positions 29 to 507 of the family's 1533-position model. The record is from RNAcentral.
AGUGAACGCUGGCGGUAGGCCUAACACAUGCCAGUCGAACGGCAGCACAGUAAGAGCUUGCUCUUACGGGUGGCGAGUGGCGGACGGGUGAGGAAUACAUCGGAAUCUACUUUUUCGUGGGGGAUAACGUAGGGAAACUUACGCUAAUACCGCAUACGACCUACGGGUGAAAGCAGGGGAUCUUCGGACCUUGCGCGAUUGAAUGAGCCGAUGUCGGAUUAGCUAGUUGGCGGGGUAAAGGCCCACCAAGGCGACGAUCCGUAGCUGGUCUGAGAGGAUGAUCAGCCACACUGGAACUGAGACACGGUCCAGACUCCUACGGGAGGCAGCAGUGAGGAAUAUUGGACAAUGGGCGCAAGCCUGAUCCAGCCAUACCGCGUGGGUGAAGAAGGCCUUCGGGUUGUAAAGCCCUUUUGUUGGGAAAGAAAAGCAGCAGGUUAAUACCCCGCUGUUCUGACGGUACCCAAAGAAUAAGCACCGGCUAACUUCGUG